Molecule: non-coding RNA, 182 nt
Organism: Paenibacillus sp.
Lineage: Bacteria; Bacillati; Bacillota; Bacilli; Caryophanales; Paenibacillaceae
Rfam family: 6S / SsrS RNA
About the family: E. coli 6S RNA was the first non coding RNA to be sequenced, but its function was unknown until recently.
Source: Rfam
AAAAUCCUGCGAUGUGCGUUUCGGUUUUACAGUUGUUUUGAACCAAUGACUGUUUCUUGGGAGACCUACAUUGAAUCGCGGCUGUCAUGCCCUCGAAAAGGGACUUCAAAACCGAUUCUGCGGACACCCACCUGCGAGAGCGGGUUUGAAACACGAAAUCGGACGGCAUAUGCGGGUUUUUU